This is a non-coding RNA of Camelina sativa (false flax), 887 nucleotides long. Lineage: Eukaryota; Viridiplantae; Streptophyta; Magnoliopsida; Brassicales; Brassicaceae. The record is from RefSeq and is a predicted model, not a curated record.
UCUCUCUAUCUCUCUCUAUCUCUCUCUCUCUCUCUCUUUCUACAUCUAUUCUUCUUCUUCUCUCACCCCAAAUAUGGAAGUUCAUCAACCCAGAGCCUCCAGCCUACGCCUGCAAGUCCUGCUCCUGCUGCUUCUGCUGCUUCUGCUUCUUGGUGGUGGGUGGUUUUAAUUCGUAGAGGUCCCAACGUCCGAUGAAGUUGUAGUGACCAUGUGUUGUUUGAAAAAGAAAGAUGCGAUAGCAGAGCUGUUCCCGGUAGCUGAUGCCACAGCGUUUUUCACCGACUUGCAUCACGUACUCAAAAGUCCGGACUUUGUGCCACCGUCGACUAGUGCUCCUAGAACAGGCAAGUGUUUUUUAGCUUUAGAAGAAUGAAUGUCAACAAGCAAGUGUUUUAGAUGGCUGGAAGAUUGUUAAAUUACUCUCUUAGGAGGUAAUUGAAUAUCCUAAUCACUUUUACCACCAUUUUCAGGUCAUUUGAUGCAUCAGUUAGUUGUGCACUUCCAUAUAUAGGCUGUGUUGCAAAAGAUAGUCUUUUGACAUUUUUUUGUCUUUGGAUUUAGGUAGUUUCCAUGGUGAGAUAACAAAUCUGUGCAUCGCCUCGAGUGUCUCUGCACAUUUCAAAUCUGUGCCGGAGCUGUGUGGCUCCGUCAAGGUAAAAGCUCCAUCUCCCGAUCUCCGUUGAUUUCAUAUAGAGUAGCAUGUGUUAGUUAUGGUUGACUUUGUUUAUUACUGUUGAUAGAGUCUGGGAAGUGUCUUGGUGAAUUCUGUAAACAAGAAUAUCACUUUAGCUCCAUAAUUGUAUUUCAUACUAUACAGGUUGGUAUAGUAGAAUGAAUGUCUGCCACAGUGCCACUUCUUCUUUUCCAUGCAAUCUUCAGCAAAUUAU